This 1275-nucleotide long non-coding RNA is filed under the name Lathyrus oleraceus (garden pea). RNAcentral's name for it is "Pisum sativum (pea) long non-coding RNA (PSAT_LNC007351)". The record is from RNAcentral. Lineage: Eukaryota; Viridiplantae; Streptophyta; Magnoliopsida; Fabales; Fabaceae.
UUAUUAUUAUAAUUAUCCAUUUAUUUAAUUAAUUGUAACAAUUAAAGAAAUAAAAAAAUAAAAAUCAAUAAUAAUAAAAUAAAUAAAAUCAAGGGGUUUGAAAGCAAGGGUUUUAAUCGUAUUUGACAAUAUUAUUUAAUGAUUUUUUAAUAUUUAUUAUUAGUAGUAUUUAUUUAUUUAAUUAAUUGUAGUAAUUAAAGAAAUAAACAAAUAAGAUUAAUAAUAAUAAAAAUAAAUAAAAUCAAGUGUUUUUAAUUAUGAGAAAAUAUUAUUCAAUUAUUAUUUAUUUAUUCCUUAAUUAUUUUAUUAAUUUAAAAAUAAUUAACAAAAUAAAAAUAAAAAUAAAUAAAUAAAUAAAAUUAAUAAAAGAAAAGUGGGGUGAAAGUAGUAGUAAGAGAGAGAUGACAGCAAAAAAUUUUAAAAAAAAAAUAGAAAAAUGAUCCUAAAGCCUAACCAAAUUCCACUACCCACUCACAAAUAGCAUUGGUCAGCCAGCAUGUGACAGGUGACUUGCAUAAAAAUACAACAACAAAAAACAUCAAAAGAUGGAUUGAUCCAAGGGCUGAGUUUAUUCUGGGUUUGUUCAAGAAAACAAUAAUAUUCAUCUCUAUUUUAAACAUAAUUUGCUGAAUUUUUCAUGAAAUUGAGAAAAUGAAUAAUGAAAAUUCAUUUGUUCAAUCUCACGAAUAUCAUGGAAAACUUAAAAUUAAAAACUAAGUCAUAAGAAAAAUCACAAAUUAAAUCAUAUUUAACCGCUUUUGCUUAUGGAGGUUCAAGAAUACAUUAAACUCUUGAUUUUUAAUCAAUGGAUUUUCCAUGAAAAAUUGUGAUAAUUAAGAAAUUAAUUAAGUGCAGCAAGAAUAAUAGUGUAAAGAAAAUUAAAUAAACGAAAAUCAAUUCACAUUUAAUCAUUUUUGGUCAAUGGAGGUUCAAGAAUACUUUAAAACUCUUGGUUUUGAAUCAAUAGAGUUUUCAUGCAAAUUUGUGAUGAUUAAGAUACUAAUUAAGUAUAGCAAGAAUAAUAAUGCAAAGAAAAAUUAAAUAAAUAAUAAACAUUAAAAUCCUACCUAAAUAGAAAAAUAAAAAGUGACUUGAAAAUGGAGAGAAUUUGUGCAUACUUUUUGCUCUAUUUUUGUGAAUGAUUCUUGGUGUCAUUUGUGAAUGAAAUGAGAUUUCUUUAUAGGCUCUACAAAAGAUAGUUUAUGAAUUAUGCAAAGAGUGUGAGUGCCUUUUAGAAACUUAUUUAAUUAAAUAAUGAAUAAUUAUGUAAUAUAU